UUGUAUCUUGAAAUCUACAAAAAAAAAAGAAAGAAUGUUGAAUCGUGAACAACAUCGUGAGGCAAACUGAACAGAAGUAAUCCCAACAAAAGCAAUGCAAUAGCUUAGGCAUCAAUGUCACAAAAGCCAACGUCAUCUAGAAAUAGAGUACCAUAAUCAAACCUUAUUCCUGGGGAAUCAGGUCGCAAUGAUAGCACAAUAACCAAUCAACGGAAGAAAGCAGAGAUAAAUUUUGUUCUUGACCAAAAGAACUUCUCAUCAACAAAUUCACAAAAUAACAUAAUUAAAAGGAAUGUCCUAAAUCCUAAAACCACAUACAAUAAAGACAGGACAACAAAAAUGGUCUCAAGUAAUCUCUGAAACACAAAAUAAAACCAUCACUCCCUAAACCAAAAUGAUAACCUUAAAAGACUGAAAAUUGUGAGAUUCAAUUGAUACAUAGCACCACAAGAACAUAUAUUACAAAGCGUAGAUUAAAAUCCUUGAGGAGAGUCAAAGGGCAGGUUACAAUGGUUGCAAUGAUAGCUCUCUAAACGAUAACCAAGAAGAAACAGAGAGCAAUUUUCAAUGCUUGAACGAGAGAAUCCUCUUUACCAACUUCACAAAACAACAUCACCUAGAUGAGAGUAAGUGGGAAGCCCGAGUGCAAUAGCAUUAGGAGUCAACGAAAUCCACCAAAACUAGUAAACUGCAAGCAAUCACCAAGAAACAUACCAGAGAAGAAUCGGAGUGAGACAACUGGAUAAUUGAUAGACCCAAUUGAAUCAUAAAAGAAGGCCCUAAUAGAAGGCAACAGGGCCUAUCUUAUUGAUAGUUGAUUACUUUACAAAGAUUAGAUUAGCUUAGACCUUUGAAGCCGCGUCUCAAGUACACUGAAAUAGAACAUAACCAUCCAUAAUGAUACCCUAAAACGAUUAAAUUAGUAAAGAGCACAUAAGUACACGUAGAAGCAUGCCAAAAAUUGAAGCAUAAAAAAGGAGCAUUAUAAAUCUAAGUAAGACCAAUAAAUAAUCAUAAUACCCAAGAAAAGCUCGUACUAGUGGUUUCUAUCUCAAGAAUGAUUCUUAUGGUCACAUUACCUGAGCCAAAAAAUCUCAUAGAUUGUAUAGUGAGAUCCAUGUCAUGUUGGGUCAAUGCAAGGCAAAUCAGAUUUUGAGUUGGCAUCCAAUCCCACUUGGUCAUAGAGGAAGAGAGCAAACUAGCUUGAUGAACGAAAGAAACCUCAAUAGAACAAGAAAAGGAGUAAGCCAAGCCAAAAAGAAUGACCCUUCGAAAAUAACGAUCACCAAUAUACACAGUGAUUUGAUCUUCUGAGAAAAACUUGCUAGAAAACAAUUGGGGGCUUCCGCAUUACACACACAAUCACAUGUGCCAUAGCUUCCCUCACAAAAAGACCCCCAAAUUAAAAUCACAAAACCUUAAAAAUAACAACUGGCAUUCACGUCACCUCAUACUGUCCAUAUGUUCUGUGAUGACCCUAAAGUUUUAGAACUGAAAAAUGUGAUGAUGAUGAUGAUACAAAAGAAAAUAUAUAACUAACAAAGAAAAUAUACACAAUUGCCCAUGAUACAAAAGAAAAUAUAACUAACAAAUACCCACACACCACACUGUCAGACACCAAAAACCAAAGGAUCCAAUGUGUGCAUCUGAUUAUGAGAGCAUAUCAGCAACAACAAUCAAUGUAAACUGAAUAUACUUCACAAUCAACACAAAGACAUUUACAAACAAACAACAAAAAUGAUAUGAAUAAACCAGAGCUGAUUCAGCCCCCAUCCAACAAAAACCAAUUUGUGUCAAAUCCAAAGAGCAACAGUACUACAAGGGGCGAUGUGCCUAUUAUCGAAUACCCAAACUUAUGACCACUCAUCUCACAGAUCCAAAUCACAGCAAACAAAAAUUCAAAGAAUAGAAUUGAAAUAAGAAGAGAAUAAAAAUUGGCCAAAACAGGAUAACCACCCUUGGAAAUGCGAUGAAGACUAGCCUCCCGAUCCAUUUCGAACAACCACAGGCAUGGGUGAGAUAAUUCCAUGCCACCACAACAAGAAGCAAAAUAAUACCUCUCUAAAAAAACUGAAUAAAGUCAUAUGGAUCUUUCAAACCACAAAACCACUAGAAGUAAAUCCCCUAAUACAAAAGGCAAUAACCACAAACAUGCAUGAGCUGCAAAUUCAGAAGAAACAUAUCCAUGUCACGACGAUGGCACUCACAAUAAAACCAGUUAGGAUCCAAACUGAUCAACAUAUACAUAAAAUAACACCCCCGCCAGCACCCCCCCCGCCCCCCUCCCCCCUCCCCCUCCCCCCUCCCCCUCCCCCUCCCUCCCAAUCUAAAUGUGAGUGUUCCACAUGAACUCCCCCCCAAUCUAAAUGUGAGUGUUCCACAUGAAUGUCUAGAGCCAUUCUGUACAACUACAGGUACCAAAGAUGUAUCUCCAGAUUAUAACAAACUUAAAAACUAAAAACCAUACAACUAAAUUGCAUCAAUAGUAUUCAGCAGGACUCCCAAUACCACUUGAAAUACAUCUCUAUGGCCACAAUGCAGAUCUACAGACUCGCACAAUCCAGAACCAAUAGUUUCCAUACUUGUCAAAACACCUGGUAACGAUCCAACAAAAAUGUUAGCGAUAAACUACUGCAACACAAUGCACACAAGAAAUCCAGAAAACUCAAGGAACAUGAGAAAUUACCAUGUAAGAAUCUAUUGUUCCUUCGCAUAAAAGCAUCAUAUGGAACCUAUGGGCACAAAUUUUCAUCAAGAAUUGAGCCAAUACUCGUGAACCAAACAAAAAUUUUUUUGAUGAGGGUUACCCUAAACAAAACUGUGAAAGGACUAUGUGCUAAAGCACGAUGUAUAUAUGUAAAACUUGCAAGAUCACUUACAAUGUCAAUUACAAAAAUAAAUAAAAACCCAUUAUCAAUUGCUACCUUUUCAAAUAGAACUCUUUAUUCGAAAAUAAAAACUAGACUUAUUGCUUUAUCGGAAGAGAAGAAUAAAUCACAAUAAAGAUUUAAAGAAGUAAAAUUACCAGAGAUUAUCUCAACUGGAUUUAGUACACCCCACACCGAGUAUCCUCUUUCCGAUGGUGCUCAGAAUUUAUGAUCGGUCUCUUGACUCUCCUACUAUAACAAAAACUCUAUCAUUAGCAAAUGGAUCUCAAUCUAGAACCAACCACCUAAAGUGCCAAUGCCUUACUCAAGGCCUCCCGGCUUGAUCUUUGGAGAGAUAAAAGAUAGAAAUAAAAGAGAGAAGGAGAGAUCUACUAGUUAGGGGAUCCUCUCCUUUUCUACACACAAUCAAAACCACCAACCCUAGCCUUGGGCAUGCCACCUAGAACUCGCAAGAGAUGGAGCGACGGCUUGGGCAUGCCCCUUUGGAGAAUUAAAAAGAGAGAGAUCUUGGAAAAUUUCUACAUGUGGUAAAUUGGGCCCCCAUAUUUUAUGGAGGGUCUAAUUUUAAAAAAUAUUUUAUUUAGAAUUUUAAAUAUUAUAAUUUAUUUAAAACAUUAAAAAAAUAAUUUCUUUUAAUUUAUAAAUUCAAAUGACAAAAAUAAAAUAUCAGAAGAUUAACAAAAAUUUAACUAAACAUUCUAAAAAGAUCUCACUCUUUUCAAUUCUCCAAAGAGAGCAUGCCCAAGCUACCUCUCCAUUUCUUGCGAGUUUUCCAAAGAGGGCAUGCCCAAGUUAUCUCUCCAUCUCUUGCGAGUUCUAGGUGGCAUGCCCAAGGCUGGUGGUUUUGAUUGUGGGUAGCAAAGGGGAGAAUCCACUUGCUAAUAGAUAUCUCCCUCUCUUUUUGAUUUUUAUCUUUCAUCUGUCUAAAGAUCAAGUCUAUCUCUCAUCUCUCUAAAGAUUUUUAUCUCUCAUCUCUCUAAAGAUCAAGCCAAGGGGCUUAAGCAAUACUAAGGCAUUAAAUCUUUCUAAAGAUCAAAUCUAUCUUUCAUCUCUCCAAAGAUAAGUUUAUCUCUCAGAUCAAGCCAAUGGGCUUAAGCAAGACUAAAGCAUUAAAGCCUUAGGCAGGUUUUAGAUUAAGAACCAUAUGUGUCAUUGAGAGGGUUUUUGCCAUAGUAGAAAAGUCAAGAGACUAGAUCUUACCACCACUAACGGAAAGAAGAGACUCAUCGUACGAUGUACUAAACCUGGUUGAGGUACUCUCUAGUAAUUUUACUUUUUAAAUUUUAUUUUAUUUAUGAUUUGCUCUUCUCUUCUUAUAAAGCAAUCAGUCUGAUUGUUGAAUAAAGAGUUGUAUUUGAAGAGGUAGCAAUUUAGAACCGGUUUUUAUUUAUUUUUAUUUCAUUCAAGAGUUGUUUGUUUUGUCCAAUUUGUUUGUAAUUGGACAUUGUUAGUAAUCUUGCUAGAGUCGCAAUAAAGAAACUUUUUUUAAAUAUCACCUAGAAAUAGAGUCCCAUAAUCAAACCUCAUUCCUUGGAAAAAUCAGGUCCCAAUGAUAUAUAAAUAACCAAUCAAUCGAGGAAACUAGAGAAAAAUUGUGAUCUUGAACAAAAGAACCCCACGUCAACAAAUUCACAAAAUAACAUAUUUCAAAGGAUCGUCCUAAACCCUAAAACUACACAAAACAACCACAGGACAGCAAAAAUGGUCUCAAGUAUUCUCUGAAACACAAAAUACAAUGAUCACUCCAUAAAAGACUCAGAAAAUUGUGAGAUACAAUUGAUAUAUUGCGUCGCAAGAACAUAUAUUACAGAUGGUGAUUAAAUCGUUUGAAUGCACAUUCUGGUAUGGUCUUAGCAAUUUUCUGAAACAAAAAAUAGAACGAUCACUCCCUAAGCGCCUCAAAAAACACCAUUAAGGAGCCCAUGAAUACAUACAGAGUAAAAUCAAGAAACCAGAACAAGUCAAAAUGCCCAAGCAAGAUAAUUGUAGUUAUAAAAAGAUCCUAGUAUUAAAAUAAAAGUAAAAAAGAGAGCAAGAAGUGAUUCAUCAAGAAGCAUCACAGAAAUCCGGAAAUAAAAAAUACAAACGCAACCCAAAAACCACACAAAAAUAACCACAGGACCAUAAAAAACCAUUCGUCAGUCAGAACGAGAGCAUAAUGAAACCAGAACCAUGAAGCAUCAUAUAAGAGACCCCUAAGGCCCAAAACCCGUGGGAAACCAAAAAUAGACAGGAAUGAAAAUAAAAAAGCCAAAAGAAUCAAACACAGAAAAACCAUAUAAACCCGAACUCAAUCAAGAACCAGGUCAUCAUAAAAACAAACAUGUGUUUAAACUGACGAAAUAAAUCUGCAGGCAACAUUAAAGGGAUUGAAUAGAAAGAUAUGGUCGAUAGAGGAUCAAGAGUUACAGAGGGGCCCUGUAAAAUAUGUAUUUUCACCGUAUUGUAGAAGCAAGAAUUAUUUAUAUUUUUUCCGUUGUUUU
This 5371-nucleotide long non-coding RNA is filed under the name Amborella trichopoda. Its description in RNAcentral is "long non-coding RNA (ATRI_LNC001084)". Lineage: Eukaryota; Viridiplantae; Streptophyta; Magnoliopsida; Amborellales; Amborellaceae. The record is from RNAcentral.